AGUCGUGCGGGAAAGUAUCUUCGGAUAUGAGUAGAGCGGCGGACGGGUGAGUAACGCGUAGGAAUCUACCUAGUAGAAGGGGAUAGCCCGGGGAAACCCGGAUUAAUACCGUAUACCUCCUUCGGGAGAAAGAAGGCCUCUCUUUGAAGCUUUCGCUACUAGAUGAGCCUGCGUAAGAUUAGCUAGUUGGUGAGGUAAUGGCUCACCAAGGCUACGAUCUUUAGCUGGUCUGAGAGGACGAUCAGCCACAUUGGGACUGAGACACGGCCCAGACUCCUACGGGAGGCAGCAGUGGGGAAUAUUGGACAAUGGGCGCAAGCCUGAUCCAGCCAUACCGCGUGUGUGAAGAAGGCCUUCGGGUUGUAAAGCACUUUAAGCAGGGAGAAAAAGUUAUAGGUUAAUACCCUAUGACCUUGAUGUUACCUGCAGAAUAAGCACCGGCUAAUUCCGUGCCAGCAGCCGCGGUAAUACGGAAGGUGCAAGCGUUAAUCGGAAUUACUGGGCGUAAAGCGCGCGUAGGUGGUUUGUUAAGUUGGAUGUGAAAGCCCUGGGCUCAACCUAGGAACUGCAUCCAAAACUAACUCACUAGAGUACGAUAGAGGGAGGUAGAAUUCAUAGUGUAGCGGUGGAAUGCGUAGAUAUUAUGAAGAAUACCAGUGGCGAAGGCGGCCUCCUGGAUCUGUACUGACACUGAGGUGCGAAAGCGUGGGUAGCGAACAGGAUUAGAUACCCUGGUAGUCCACGCCGUAAACGAUGACAACUAGCUGUUGGGAGACUAUGUC
Molecule: ribosomal RNA, 782 nt
Filed under: uncultured Gammaproteobacteria bacterium
Lineage: Bacteria; Pseudomonadati; Pseudomonadota; Gammaproteobacteria
Description: bacterial SSU rRNA
Rfam family: Bacterial small subunit ribosomal RNA
Source: RNAcentral